Molecule: ribosomal RNA, 253 nt
Filed under: uncultured bacterium
Lineage: Bacteria
Description: partial 16S ribosomal RNA
Rfam family: Bacterial small subunit ribosomal RNA
Source: RNAcentral
UACGAAGGGGGCUAGCGUUGCUCGGAAUCACUGGGCGUAAAGCGCACGUAGGCGGCUUGUUAAGUCAGGGGUGAAAUCCCGGGGCUCAACCUCGGAACUGCCUUUGAUACUGCAAAUCUCGAGUCCGGAAGAGGUGAGUGGAAUUCCUAGUGUAGAGGUGAAAUUCGUAGAUAUUAGGAAGAACACCAGUGGCGAAGGCGGCUCACUGGUCCGGUACUGACGCUGAGGUGCGAAAGCGUGGGGAGCAAACAGG